UUGGAACUCCUGGUUUGGUCUCCUCGGUCCCUUGAGACCAAUUUGAAUAAAUGUAUGAUUAUGUGAGUCUUUCUAUUCAAGAGUAAUGAUCUGCAAUGGGUAUCUAUUCUUUGUUGAAUUCUUAGACGUCAUCUGCUCCAUAUGUCAUAGGCAGGAUCCAUCCAUAUUUAUUUAUUUUA
Arachis ipaensis is the source of this 179-nucleotide non-coding RNA. NCBI's taxonomy places the organism in Eukaryota, Viridiplantae, Streptophyta, Magnoliopsida, Fabales, Fabaceae. The record is from RefSeq and is a predicted model, not a curated record.